UCAUUAUUCUGGAAUAGUUGCAUGGUUUCAGAAUAGUUUCUGGACUAAACUUAUUAUUAAACAGUGAAAUUGUGUUCUAGCCUAGCCAGUGCACGAGUUCCUGCACCCGGAGGUAUCUGGCCUUGAGGGUACAGAGGAGACGUGCGGUCGGGCAGUCGCAUUUAGCAGAAGGACUAUCGGUUCUCCGGCAUCGCUGGGGAUCGCGCAGUCUUAGUGAGCAGAGGGAUCAUCGGUUCUCCGGCAUCGCUGGGGAUCGCGCAUAACCUGCAUCAUACUUUACCGGCAGUGUCUGGUUGAGUGGAGGUUAUAGCAUGUCUGACUCCGGCUCGGCAACAGAUAGUCCCAAACGAGGGUGGAGGGAGGUUUUGGAGAAGAAGGCCCGGGUGACACAGGAGGUGGAGGUAGCCAACUCCGAAGGCAAACUCCUGUAUGGCACGGCAAGGGAGC
Molecule: long non-coding RNA, 447 nt
Organism: Dreissena polymorpha
Lineage: Eukaryota; Metazoa; Mollusca; Bivalvia; Myida; Dreissenidae
Exons: 3
Source: RefSeq, a predicted model, not a curated record